UACGUAGGGCGCAAGCGUUGUUCGGAAUUAUUGGGCGUAAAGAGCUCGUAGGUGGCGUGUCGCGUCUGCCGUGAAAGCCCAUGGCUUAACUGUGGGUCUGCGGUGGAUACGGGCAGGCUGGAGGCUGGUAGGGGCAAGCGGAAUUCCUGGUGUAGCGGUGAAAUGCGCAGAUAUCAGGAGGAACACCAGUGGCGAAGGCGGCUUGCUGGGCCGGUUCUGACGCUGAGGAGCGAAAGCGUGGGGAGCGAACAGG
Molecule: ribosomal RNA, 253 nt
Filed under: uncultured bacterium
Lineage: Bacteria
Description: partial 16S ribosomal RNA
Rfam family: Bacterial small subunit ribosomal RNA
Source: RNAcentral